RNAcentral lists this ribosomal RNA (356 nucleotides) under uncultured bacterium. RNAcentral's name for it is "bacterial SSU rRNA". It matches the Rfam family "Bacterial small subunit ribosomal RNA", at positions 917 to 1271 of the family's 1533-position model. The record is from RNAcentral.
GGGCCCGCACAAGCGGUGGAGCAUGUGGUUUAAUUCGAUGCAACGCGAAGAACCUUACCAGGGUUUGACAUCCUGCGAAUCUCUUGGAAACGAGAGAGUGCCUUCGGGAACGCAGUGACAGGUGGUGCAUGGCUGUCGUCAGCUCGUGUCGUGAGAUGUUGGGUUAAGUCCCGCAACGAGCGCAACCCACGUCGUUAGUUGCCAGCGUGUAAUGACGGGGACUCUAACGGAACUGCCGGUGCAAACCGUGAGGAAGGUGGGGGACGACGUCAAAUCAUCACGGCCCUUACAUCCUGGGCUACACACGUACUACAAUGCUACGGACAAAGGGCAGCAAACUCGCGAGAGCUAGCAAA